UCCGGUUUGUCACCGGCAGUCUCACUAGAGUGCCCUUGCGUAGCAACUAAUGAUAAGGGUUGCGCUCGUUGCGGGACUUAACCCAACAUCUCACGACACGAGCUGACGACAGCCAUGCAGCACCUGUGUCUAGGCUCUCUUUCGAGCACUCCCAUAUCUCUACGGGAUUCCUAGCAUGUCAAACGUAGGUAAGGUUUUUCGCGUUGCAUCGAAUUAAUCCACAUCAUCCACCGCUUGUGCGGGUCCCCGUCAAUUCCUUUGAGUUUUAACCUUGCGGCCGUACUCCCCAGGCGGUCUACUUCACGCGUUAGCUGCGUUACCAAGUCAAUUAAGACCCGACAACUAGUAGACAUCGUUUAGGGCGUGGACUAC
RNAcentral lists this unclassified non-coding RNA (372 nucleotides) under uncultured Gammaproteobacteria bacterium. RNAcentral's name for it is "contains 16S-23S intergenic spacer region". Lineage: Bacteria; Pseudomonadati; Pseudomonadota; Gammaproteobacteria. The record is from RNAcentral.